This 462-nucleotide ribosomal RNA is filed under the name uncultured bacterium. Its description in RNAcentral is "bacterial SSU rRNA". It matches the Rfam family "Bacterial small subunit ribosomal RNA", at positions 29 to 526 of the family's 1533-position model. The record is from RNAcentral.
AACGAACGCUGGCGGCAGGCCUAACACAUGCAAGUCGAACGUGAAGCCACCUUCGGGUGGUGGAAAGUGGCAGACGGGUGAGUAACGCGUGGGAACGUGCCUUUCGGUUCGGGAUAACCCAGGGAAACUUGGGCUAAUACCGGAUACGCCCUUCGGGGGAAAGAUUCAUUGCCGAAAGAUCGGCCCGCGUCGGAUUAGCUAGUUGGUGGGGUAAAAGCCUACCAAGGCGACGAUCCGUAGCUGGUCUGAGAGGAUGACCAGCCACACUGGGACUGAGACACGGCCCAGACUCCUACGGGAGGCAGCAGUGGGGAAUAUUGGACAAUGGGCGCAAGCCUGAUCCAGCCAUGCCGCGUGGGUGAAGAAGGCCCUAGGGUUGUAAACCCCUUUCAGCGGGGAAGAUAAUGACGGUACCCGCAGAAGAAGCCCCGGCUAACUCCGUGCCAGCCGCCGCCGUAACAC